UACGUAGGGGGCGAGCGUUGUCCGGAAUUAUUGGGCGUAAAGAGCGUGUAGGCUGUUCGGUAAGUCUGCCGUGAAAACCUGAGGCUCAACCUCGGGCGUGCGGUGGAUACUGCCGGGCUAGAGGACGGUAGAGGCGAGUGGAAUUCCCGGUGUAGCGGUGAAAUGCGCAGAUAUCGGGAGGAACACCAAUGGCGAAGGCAGCUCGCUGGGACGUUACUGACGCUGAGACGCGAAAGCGUGGGGAGCAAACAGG
This 253-nucleotide ribosomal RNA is filed under the name uncultured bacterium. RNAcentral's name for it is "partial 16S ribosomal RNA". It matches the Rfam family "Bacterial small subunit ribosomal RNA", at positions 524 to 776 of the family's 1533-position model. The record is from RNAcentral.